Molecule: non-coding RNA, 312 nt
Organism: Danio rerio (zebrafish)
Lineage: Eukaryota; Metazoa; Chordata; Actinopteri; Cypriniformes; Danionidae
Source: RefSeq, a predicted model, not a curated record
UGGGAGAAAUGUAUCAAUAAGUCAUGACUGCAACAGAUAGUGGCAAAAAAGUUAAACAAAAAAGACUUUUAUUUUGCCGUGGCGCGUGACGUCAUCAGGCAGCGCCGCUUCGUCGCUGUGAUUCAACUGGAGAAAGGAUAAAGUGUCCAAACACAGAGAAAAACUCCUGCUGAAGCGACUGAUCUCCACACUGUUAUAAAGAUGGCGUUUAUUAAAGAAGAGAGUGAAGAUUGAAGAGACAUUCACAGUCAAACAGGAAGAUCUGCAGGAACAAACAGACCUAAUUAAAGACUACGAGGAGAGUAGAGGAGG